Eubalaena glacialis (North Atlantic right whale) is the source of this 310-nucleotide long non-coding RNA. RefSeq lists it as uncharacterized. The record is from RefSeq and is a predicted model, not a curated record. Lineage: Eukaryota; Metazoa; Chordata; Mammalia; Artiodactyla; Balaenidae. The transcript has 3 exons.
AGAGCAUGAUAAAUCCACUAAAGGCACUAAAGACUUUCAGCAACUGAAGGCUGGGAUUGACACAGGAAAACUGAGAAAUUUUCCAAGACAUGCUUGGCUUUCAACUCUGGAAAGCUAAAGGAGAGGCACUUCCCAGUCAGGCCAUGCCAUGUCUUGAUCUUACUGCUCAGUUAGAAGCAAUGAGGGGAGGUAUGAGCAGAUCCAGAGGAAGACAACACAACCAUCUGGCGAAGCCUACAGAGAAACCAUUUUGAACACAAAAUAUCUCAGAAAAUAUGGGCUUCCUGAUGAUUCUACUCCGGCAGGAUGU